CCUACGGGCGGCAGCAGUCGAGAAUCAUUCACAAUGGGGGAAACCCUGAUGGUGCGACGCCGCGUGGGGGAAUGAAGGUCUUCGGAUUGUAAACCCCUGUCAUGUGGGAGCAAAUUAAAAAGAUAGUACCACAAGAGGAAGAGACGGCUAACUCUGGGCCAGCAGCCGCGGUAAUACAGAGGUCUCAAGCGUUGUUCGGAAUCACUGGGCGUAAAGCGUGCGUAGGCUGUUUCGUAAGUCGUGUGUGAAAGGCGGGGGCUCAACCUGCGGACGGCACAUGAUACUGCGAGACUAGAGUAAUGGAGGGGGAAGCGGAAUUCUCGGUGUAGCAGUGAAAUGCGUAGAUAUCGAGAGGAACACUCGUGGCGAAGGCGGGUUCCUGGACAUUAACUGACGCUGAGGCACGAAGGCCAGGGGAGCGAAAGGGAUUAGAUACCCUGGUAGUC
RNAcentral lists this ribosomal RNA (446 nucleotides) under uncultured bacterium. RNAcentral describes it as "partial 16S ribosomal RNA". It matches the Rfam family "Bacterial small subunit ribosomal RNA", at positions 338 to 795 of the family's 1533-position model. The record is from RNAcentral.